AUUGGUUGUGAAGCUGGACGUGGAGGCUGUUUGAUGAUGGAGUAGAAGAGUUUGGCGUUAUUUCCAAGCAUAGGGUCAUCUGCAUCCGUAGCUGUCACCUGAACCACUGUGGUCCCUGGGUAAAGAGACAAAGGGAAGACACCCUGUCAGUGGUAAAUGGGUUGUUGUGUGCAUAAACUGACCAGGCUCUUCAGAGUGUGGAUUUCACCGGUG
This is a long non-coding RNA of Trichomycterus rosablanca, 213 nucleotides long. RefSeq lists it as uncharacterized. The transcript has 3 exons. The record is from RefSeq and is a predicted model, not a curated record. Lineage: Eukaryota; Metazoa; Chordata; Actinopteri; Siluriformes; Trichomycteridae.